UACAGGAGCGGCAGACGGGAGAGUAACACGUGGGAACAUACCCUUUGGUUCGGAACAACACAGGGAAACUUGUGCUAAUACCGGAUAAGCCCUUACGGGGAAAGAUUUAUCGCCGAAGGAUUGGCCCGCGUCUGAUUAGCUAGUUGGUGAGGUAACGGCUCACCAAGGCUACGAUCAGUAGCUGGUCUGAGAGGAUGAUCAGCCUCACUGGGACUGAGACACGGCCCAG
Molecule: ribosomal RNA, 229 nt
Filed under: uncultured bacterium
Lineage: Bacteria
Description: partial 16S ribosomal RNA
Rfam family: Bacterial small subunit ribosomal RNA
Source: RNAcentral